GUAAAAUGAUAGAUGUUCCUCCAUAUCCUAGUAUUCGUUAUACGUCUCGUGGAUUCGAGGCAUUUAGAGAGAGGGAAGAAGAGAAGUCAGCAUGGGAUUAUAGCAUUAACGAAGACAAAGCAGAAGACAUAAAUGCUGAAGCGGAAGCUUUCAUUAAGUCGAUGCACCGUAAAUUUGAAGUUGCCAAACUGAUGUCCAGCAAGUCUUUUUAUUGAAUAAUGAGUCAUGUGCGCUCUCUCUCU
This 242-nucleotide long non-coding RNA is filed under the name Solanum tuberosum (potato). RNAcentral's name for it is "long non-coding RNA (STUB_LNC004673)". Lineage: Eukaryota; Viridiplantae; Streptophyta; Magnoliopsida; Solanales; Solanaceae. The record is from RNAcentral.